UAUAAUUUAGUAUAAGGAGGUAUUUAAAUUUUUGAUAUUUAAGGAAAUAGUUUAAUUCUAUUGAUUAUAA
RNAcentral lists this transfer RNA (70 nucleotides) under Holotrichia parallela (large black chafer). Its description in RNAcentral is "tRNA-Gln". Lineage: Eukaryota; Metazoa; Arthropoda; Insecta; Coleoptera; Scarabaeidae. The record is from RNAcentral.